UACGUAGGGUGCAAGCGUUGUCCGGAAUUAUUGGGCGUAAAGAGCUCGUAGGCGGCCUGUUGCGUCCGCUGUGAAAUCCCGGGGCUCAACCCCGGGCCUGCAGUGGAUACGGGCUGGCUGGAGGCAGGCAGGGGAGAACGGAAUUCCUGGUGUAGCGGUGGAAUGCGCAGAUAUCAGGAGGAACACCGGUGGCGAAGGCGGUUCUCUGGGCCUGUUCUGACGCUGAGGAGCGAAAGCGUGGGGAGCGAACAGG
RNAcentral lists this ribosomal RNA (253 nucleotides) under uncultured bacterium. RNAcentral describes it as "partial 16S ribosomal RNA". It matches the Rfam family "Bacterial small subunit ribosomal RNA", at positions 524 to 776 of the family's 1533-position model. The record is from RNAcentral.